Molecule: ribosomal RNA, 253 nt
Filed under: uncultured bacterium
Lineage: Bacteria
Description: partial 16S ribosomal RNA
Rfam family: Bacterial small subunit ribosomal RNA
Source: RNAcentral
UACGAAGGGGGCUAGCGUUGCUCGGAAUCAUUGGGCGUAAAGGGUGCGUAGGCGGCGCGGUAAGUCGGGUGUGAAAUCUCGGAGCUUAACUCCGAAACUGCAUUCGAUACUGCCGUGCUUGAGGACUGGAGAGGAGACUGGAAUUUACGGUGUAGCGGUGAAAUGCGUAGAUAUCGUAAGGAAGACCAGUGGCGAAGGCGGGUCUCUGGACAGUUCCUGACGCUGAGGCACGAAGGUCAGGGGAGCAAACGGG